Molecule: long non-coding RNA, 1445 nt
Filed under: Sus scrofa (pig)
Lineage: Eukaryota; Metazoa; Chordata; Mammalia; Artiodactyla; Suidae
Description: lncRNA (ENSSSCG00050017107.1)
Source: RNAcentral
AUCAAAAUGCUUCAAAGUAUACAGCUGAGAAUUAACGUGAAUUACAGAGGCUAAGGAGCCAAAAGCGAAAUUAAAUUAGUUGAGGCCUAAAAGAAAUGCAGUCCUAGAAUGCAAUGGAGAGAAAGUAAUGCCCCACAGCAUCACUUGUGUCCUACAUCUGAUUGCUGUUGUAUCUGCUGGUAAGUGUGCCAGUAAAGGUCUCUAUGAAGUGUUCAGAAUUGCCUGUCAUGUCCUUCAGCCCUUCCAAAGAAGAUAAAUUAGAACCUAAGAUAGACUCUGAAAAGAACUCCAGGACGAUGAGAUCUGAAAGAGGCUGGGAGAGGCGGGAUUUGGACUUGAGAGGGGUUUCUUGGUGGUGUGCUGUGGACAUGGUGGUUAUUCCAAGGCUUCUAGCUUGGCAGCCUGGGAAGAUGGUGGUGUCAUUAUCAGAGAAGAAACAUUGUAGGCAGAAGAGGUUUGUUAAGGAGAAGGAAAUAGUGAGUUCUUAUGGGGACUUGUUAAGUUUGUGGUGCCUCUAGGCCAUUUAGGCUAUAUCCAGAAGUCCUCUUGAAAGUAAGAGGAAAGUAGGAUCUGGAGAUGAAAAUUAUUUGGGUAAUUGAUAGUCUAGGUAGAUAAGCAUAGCUUCUUCGCCAUCUUUUUUUUCGGUCUUUUGUCUUUUUAGGGCCGCACCGUAGCAUAUGGAGGUUCAUAGGCUAGGGGUUGAAUUGGAGGUGUAGCUGCCAGCCUACUCCACAGCCACGGCAACAUUGGUUCCAAGCUGCAUCUGCGACCUACACCACAGCUCAUGGCAACGCCAGAUCCUUCACCCACUGAACAAGGUAAGGGAUCGAACCCGAGUCCUCAUGGAUACUAGUCCAGUUUGUUAACCACUGAGCCACAGUGGGAACUCCAAGCACAGCUUCUUAUUUGAGGUCGUCGCUUAGGUGAAAUUGCAUGCAUGUAUUCUAUAUGUUUACCCUUUUAGUAAACAAACUAUAGAAUUCAGUAUAUUUUUCAAAGGGUCCAUUAUCCCAGAAACGUUAAGAAUGAGUAAGACAGAAAGACCAAAGAGGUCACUCUGGCAAACAAGUACUUGGAAGAGAUGGGCAAAGGAAAAGGAAGCUGAGGACUGGUGAGAUGCAUAAGAAUCAGAAAAAAGGAAAAAAUGGUUUGAAAGAGGAGAAGUUGAAGCUCUGUGCUGAUCAUCUAAUCAAGAUAAGUAUUUUGGGGGUUUCCUUUGUAGCUCAGUGGUAACGAACCCAGCUAGUAUCCAUGAGGAUGUGGUUUUUUAUACCUGGACUUGCUUGGUGGGUUAAGGAUCUGGCAUUGCCGUGAGCUGUGGUGUGGGUCGCAGACGAGGCUCCUUGCUGGGCUAUGGUGUAGGCCGGCAGCUAUCGCUCUGAUUCGACCCCUAGCCUGGGAACUUACAUAUGCUGAGAGUGUGGCCCUAAAAAGGCCAAAAAAAA